CACAAAUGAUUCAGGCUUCUCAAGGA
Molecule: non-coding RNA, 26 nt
Filed under: Mus musculus (house mouse)
Lineage: Eukaryota; Metazoa; Chordata; Mammalia; Rodentia; Muridae
Source: RNAcentral